Molecule: ribosomal RNA, 497 nt
Filed under: uncultured bacterium
Lineage: Bacteria
Description: partial 16S ribosomal RNA
Rfam family: Bacterial small subunit ribosomal RNA
Source: RNAcentral
GAUGAACGCUAGCUACAGGCUUAACACUGCAAGUCGAGGGGUAGCAGGGCAGCAAUACCGCUGACGACCGGCGCACGGGUGAGUAACACGUAUCCAACCUUCCCAUAACUCGGGGAUAGCCUUUCGAAAGAAAGAUUAAUACCCGAUAGUACUUUAUUAAGGCAUCUUAAGAAAGUUAAAGAUUUAUUGGUUAUGGAUGGGGAUGCGUCCCAUUAGAUAGUUGGUGAGGUAACGGCUCACCAAGUCUUCGAUGGAUAGGGGCUCUGAGAGGAAGGUCCCCCACAUUGGUACUGAGACACGGACCAAACUCCUACGGGAGGCAGCAGUGAGGAAUAUUGGUCAAUGGGCGAGAGCCUGAACCAGCCAAGUAGCGUGAAGGAUGAAGGUCCUAUGGAUUGUAAACUUCUUUUAUAGUAGAAUAAAGUGAACCACGUGUGGUUUUUUGUAUGUAUACUAUGAAUAAGGAUCGGCUAACUCCGUGCCAGCCGCCGCAGUAA